This is a long non-coding RNA of Sarcophilus harrisii (Tasmanian devil), 3109 nucleotides long. NCBI's taxonomy places the organism in Eukaryota, Metazoa, Chordata, Mammalia, Dasyuromorphia, Dasyuridae. The record is from Ensembl.
UUUUUAUUUACAAAAUAUAUGCAUGAGUAAUUUUUCAGCAUUGACAAAUGCAAAUCCUUUUGUUCCAAUUUUUCCCCUCCUUCCCCCCACCUGCUCCCCCAGAUGGCAGGUAGACCAAUACAUGUUAAAUACAAUAUAUGUAUACAUGUCCAUAUAGUUAUUAUGCUGCACAAAAAGAAUCGGACUUUGAAAUAGUGUACAAUUAGCCUGUGAAGGAAAUAAAAAAUGCAGGUGGACAAAAAUAGAGGGAUUGGGGAUUCUAUGUGGUGGUUCACACUCAUUUCCCUGAGCUCUUUUGCUGGGUGUAGCUGGUUCAAUUCAUUACUGCUCUAUGGAGCUGAUUUGUUUCAUCUCAUUGCUGAGGAUGGCCAAGUCCAUCAGAAUUGAUCAUCAUAUAGUAUUGUUGUUGAAGUAAAUAAUGAUCUCCUGUGUUCUGCUCAUUUCACUCAGCAUUAGUUCAUGUAAGUCUCUCCGGGCCUCUCUAAAAUCAUCCUGCCGGUCAUUUCUUACAGAACAAUAAUAUUCCAUAAUAUUCAUAUACCAUAAUUUAUUCAGCCAUUUUCCAAUUGAUGGGCAUCCACCCAGUUUUCAAUUUCUAGCCACUACAAAAAGGGCUGCCACAAACAUUUUUGCACAUGUGGGUCCCUUUCCCUUCUUUAAUAACUCUUUGGAAUAUAAGCCCAGAGUAACACUGCUGGAUCAAAGGGUAUGCACAGUUUGAUAACUUUUUUGAGCAUAGUUCCAAAUUGCUCUCCAGAAUGGCUGGAUGUGUUCACAACUACACCAACAAUGUAUUCAUUUUUUUACAUAUAUCCUUAUGAAUAAUAUUAGGAGAGGAAAACACAAAAGGGAAAAACCACAAGAGAAGAAAAAAAAAAAAAGGCAAAAAGUGAACAUAGCAUGUGUUGACUUGCAUUCAUUCAGUCUCCAUAGUUCUCUCUCUGGAUGCAGAUGGUGUUUUCCAUCCAAAGUUAUUGGGAUUGCCUUGAAUCACUGAAGAACCAAGUCUGUCAUAGUUGAUCCUCAAACAAUCUUGUUGUGUACAAUGUUCUGAUUCUGCUAGUUUCACUCUGCAUCAGUUCAUAUAAAUCUUUCCCGGCUUUUCUAAAAUGUUUGUUCAUUUUUUCCUUUAAUUCAUAUACCAUAACUUAUUCAGCCAUUCCCCAACUAAUGGGCAUUUACUUAUUUUCCAGUUCUUUGCCACCAGAAAAAGAGCUGCUACAAACAUUUUUGCACAUGUGGAUCUUUUCCCUCCUUUAUGAUCUCUUCGGGAUACAGGCAAGUAGAGACACUGCUGGAUCAAAGGGUAUGCACAGUUCAAUAGCCUUAUGAACAUAGUUCCAAAUUGCUCUCCAGAAUGGUUGGAUCCUUUCAAUGCAAUAAUGAUUAGUGUCCCAAUUUUCCCACAUCUUCUACAAUAUUCAUCUUUAUCUUUUCCCGUCAUCUUAGCCAAUCUGAAAGGUGUGAGGUAGUAUCUCAAGAGUUGUUUUAAUUUGCAUUUCUUUAAACCAAUGGUGAGUAAUCAUUUUUUCAUAUGAUUAGAAGGCUUUAAUUUCUUCAUCUGAAAAUUGUUCAUAUCCCUUGACCAUUUAUCAACUGAGGAAUGAUUUAUAGUCUUAUAAAUUUGACUCAGUUCUUUAUAUAUUUCAUAUCAGAAACAAGCUGUAAAAAUCUCUCCCCCCCCCAUUUUUUUGCUUCCCUUCUAAUCUUGGCUGCAUUGGUUUUGUUUGUGCGUAAACUUUUAAAUUUAAUGUAAUCAAAAGUGGUCAAUUUUGCAUUUCAUAAUGUUCUCUAGUUCUUCGUUGGCCAUAAAUUCCUCUCUUCUCCAAAAGAUCUGAUAGGUAAAUUAUCCCUUGCUCUCAAUUUGUUUAUAGUAUCCAAAAGUUAAAUUUUAUGGAAUUUAUAUUUCUAGAGAUAGCACAGAACCUAGAACACUAGGGACUUCAUCUUACAUCUUUUUAAAAAACUUAGUUGAGCUGACAUUGCUCAAGUUUUAAGUGAUUAACACAAAAUAAGCAAUUUCCACUAGCUCCUCCAAAUCAAGCAUCUCUCAUGUAGAAAAAUAGUUCACAUAGGAACCAGUAACCUCUGAGGUCCUUUCUACCUCUAUAAUCAUGAUACAGUGACCCAAUGAACCAGAUUCCUAUUGCAGAGGACAUGUGGAUCCUAAUCCUAGGCUCUAGACUAAUUUAUGAAAAUUACUAACAAUAUUUUCUAAAAUCACAUUAAUAUGCUUAGACUUGCUGGGCCCACAGAAGUACAUUUACUCUAUAAAUUAUUCCUUUAACCCAGGCAACCAAGUUGCUAUUUUUACAAACUCUGUUUUCAACAGAUCCUAUGGCUAAGUUAUUGUUUGAAAAAGACUGUUUUAGCAAAAUUAGUAUUCCUAACAUGACUUAGAGCCAAAAUUUUGGUAUAAGGUUUUAUUCCCCUUGACCCUAAUUGCAAAUUAGUUGUCCAUGAUCUUUGGCCCGUUGCUUUUGUGAAAUAAAUCUUUGACUUAAAGAGAAACCCGUCCAAGUGUUCUCACUCCAACUCUAAACCAAAUACUCUCCUGUAGCACUAUUAUGCCAUAUCAAUGACAUAAAACCCUGGGGAUACCCUGAAACCACCAUUUUUAAUAAGAUCCUGCACUUUGUCUACCAACAAGGUAAAGGGAAAAUUGAACAAGAAUAGCUAACUCAGUAACUGGUAGUUUCACUUUCUUUCAGAGAUUACCCCUACUGAUCAACUUUCUACUUAACAUUACUUCUCCUUUCAUGGCACCAAAGAGAAGCAGUGUCAGCUUUCAGUCUUUUUUCCAUUCAUUUCUUGACCUUUCUAACCAUUUUACCUUUUGACCUCACUAACUGAAAUCAGUCUUUCCAAGGUUACCAAAGACCUCUUAAUUGCCAAAUCCAAUAGUAUCCUGAGUCUUAAUCCUUCUUAAUCUCAUACUUUAUUGAUGAUAUGGUAGAUAGAAAACUGGCCUGAGAAUCAUGAAUGGUUAACUUUCCCUUGACAUAAACUAGCAGCCACUUAAACAGUAUCCCAGAAACAUUUUUAAAAGAAUAUCUACUUCCUCAAGGGUGGUGUUAAAAAAAUAUUACAUUAAAUAAAUGUAAGAAAA